Molecule: ribosomal RNA, 253 nt
Filed under: uncultured bacterium
Lineage: Bacteria
Description: partial 16S ribosomal RNA
Rfam family: Bacterial small subunit ribosomal RNA
Source: RNAcentral
UACGUAGGCAGCAAGCGUUGUUCGGAGUUACUGGGCGUAAAGAGUAUGUAGGCGGUUGCGUAAGUUCGGUGUGAAAUCUCCCGGCUUAACUGGGGGGGUGCGCCGAAAACUGCGUGGCUAGAGUGCGGGAGAGGAGAGCGGAAUUCCUGGUGUAGCGGUGAAAUGCGUAGAUAUCAGGAGGAACACCGGCGGUGUAGACGGCUCUCUGGACCGGUACUGACGCUGAGAUACGAAAGCGUGGGUAGCAAACAGG